GCAUAACGCGAAGAACCUUACCUGGGCUUGAACUGUCGGUAUAGGGACCCGAAAGGGCGACGAUCCCGGGCAACCGGGAAGCCGAUAGAGGUGCUGCAUGGCUGUCGUCAGCUCGUGUCGUGAGAUGUUGGGUUAAGUCCCGCAACGAGCGCAACCCUUGUCUUUAGUUGCCAGCGAGUCAUGUCGGGCACUCUAAGGAGACUGCCUCGGAUAACGAGGAGGAAGGUGGGGAUGACGUCAAGUCAGCAUGGCCUUUAUGUCCAGGGCUACACACGUGCUACAAUGGGCGGUACAGAAGGACGCGAGACCGCGAGGUCAAGCCAACCCUUAAAACCGUUCUCAGUUCGGAUUGCAGGCUGCAACUCGCCUGCAUGAAGUCGGAAUCGCUAGUAAUCGCGGAUCAGCUACGCCGCGGUGAAUACGUUCUCGGGUCUUGUACACACCG
RNAcentral lists this ribosomal RNA (445 nucleotides) under uncultured bacterium. RNAcentral's name for it is "bacterial SSU rRNA". It matches the Rfam family "Bacterial small subunit ribosomal RNA", at positions 954 to 1392 of the family's 1533-position model. The record is from RNAcentral.